This 433-nucleotide ribosomal RNA is filed under the name uncultured bacterium. RNAcentral describes it as "partial 16S ribosomal RNA". It matches the Rfam family "Bacterial small subunit ribosomal RNA", at positions 29 to 507 of the family's 1533-position model. The record is from RNAcentral.
AACGAACGCUGGCGGCAUGCCUAACACAUGCAAGUCGAACGAGACCUUCGGGUCUAGUGGCGAACGGGUGCGUAACGCGUGGGGACCUGCCCUUAGGUUCGGAAUAACUCCCCGAAAGGGGUGCUAAUACCGGCUAAUGUCUUCGGACCAACGAUUUAUCGCCUUUGGAUGGGCCCGCGUUGGAUUAGCUAGUUGGUAGGGUAAAAGCCUACCAAGGCGACGAUCCAUAGCUGGUCUGAGAGGAUGAUCAGCCACACUGGGACUGAGACACGGCCCAGACUCCUACGGGAGGCAGCAGUGGGGAAUAUUGGACAAUGGGCGAAAGCCUGAUCCAGCAAUGCCGCGUGAGUGAUGAAGGCCUUAGGGUUGUAAAGCUCUUUUACCCGGGAUGAUAAUGACAGUACCAGGUGAAUAAGCUCCGGCUAACUCCGUG